Molecule: ribosomal RNA, 271 nt
Filed under: uncultured bacterium
Lineage: Bacteria
Description: partial 16S ribosomal RNA
Rfam family: Bacterial small subunit ribosomal RNA
Source: RNAcentral
UACAGAGGGUGCAAGCGUUAAUCGGAAUUACUGGGCGUAAAGCGCACGUAGGCGGUUUUUUAAGUCAGAUGUGAAAGCCCCGGGCUCAACCUGGGAAUUGCAUUUGAAACUGGAAAACUAGAGUGUGUGAGAGGGGGGUAGAAUUCCAAGUGUAACGGUGAAAUGCGUAGAGAUUUGGAGGAAUACCAGUGGCGAAGGCAAUCCCCUGGGCCUGCACUGACGCUCAUGCACGAAAGCGUGGGGAGCAAACAGGAUUAGAUACCCUGGUAGU